RNAcentral lists this ribosomal RNA (422 nucleotides) under uncultured bacterium. RNAcentral describes it as "partial 16S ribosomal RNA". It matches the Rfam family "Bacterial small subunit ribosomal RNA", at positions 361 to 775 of the family's 1533-position model. The record is from RNAcentral.
AUAUUGGACAAUGGGCGCAAGCCUGAUCCAGCCAUACCGCGUGGGUGAAGAAGGCCGUCGGGUUGUAAAGCCCUUUUGUUGGGAAAGAAAAGCAGUCGGCUAAUACCCGGUUGGUAUGACGGUACCCAAAGACUAAGCACCGGCUAACUUCGUCCCAUACGCCGCGGUAAGACGAAGGGUGCAAGCGUUACUCAGAAUUACUGGGCGUAAAGCGUGCGUAGGUGGUUGUUUAAGUCUGUUGUGAAAGCCCUGGGCUCAACCUGGGAAUUGCAGUGGAUACUGGGCGACUAGAGUGUGGUAGAGGGUAGUGGAAUUCCCGGUGUAGCAGUGAAAUGCGUAGAGAUCGGGAGGAACAUCCAUGGCGAAGGCAGCUACCUGGACCAACACUGACACUGAGGCACGAAAGCGUGGGGAGCAAACAG